AAGUCGUAACAAGGUUUCCGUAGGUGAACCUGCGGAAGGAUCAUUCACAACAAGUGUUUAUGGCACUUUCAAAUCCAUACCCACCUUGUGUGCAAUGUAUAAGAGUCCUUUCCAACUCGGAUUGGACUUGAUUUUUCUCUCACACGUCUUCAAUUGCAAGUCUAAGCUUUCAGAGUAAUCAAAAAAACUCGAAUACAACUUUCAACAACGGAUCUCUUGGCUCUC
RNAcentral lists this unclassified non-coding RNA (225 nucleotides) under Mortierella sp. Its description in RNAcentral is "partial internal transcribed spacer region". The stretch from base 1 to 46 matches the Rfam family "Eukaryotic small subunit ribosomal RNA", at positions 1786 to 1831 of the family's 1831-position model. The record is from RNAcentral. Lineage: Eukaryota; Fungi; Mortierellomycota; Mortierellomycetes; Mortierellales; Mortierellaceae.